GAAAAUCCCAAUGAUACGUCUUCCUUCUUUUCCUAAUGCUAUAAUUGAUGCUCAAGCAUGAUUUUUCAUAUUUGAAGCCCAAUUUUCUGAUUUUGAAAAUUUUCCCUUUUUCAAAUUUCCUUCAUAGUAACUAACCUAUGAUUUGUCCUACAUCAGAAGACGAUGAGGUCAUUUGAGUUAGAAAAGACCAAUUCCCAAAUUACGUAGAACAGAGA
Molecule: long non-coding RNA, 215 nt
Filed under: Prunus persica (peach)
Lineage: Eukaryota; Viridiplantae; Streptophyta; Magnoliopsida; Rosales; Rosaceae
Description: long non-coding RNA (PPER_LNC004238)
Source: RNAcentral